RNAcentral lists this ribosomal RNA (496 nucleotides) under uncultured bacterium. Its description in RNAcentral is "partial 16S ribosomal RNA". It matches the Rfam family "Bacterial small subunit ribosomal RNA", at positions 28 to 506 of the family's 1533-position model. The record is from RNAcentral.
GAUGAACGCUGGCGGCGUGCCUAAUACAUGCAAGUCGAGCGAACAGACGAGGAGCUUGCUCCUCUGACGUUAGCGGCGGACGGGUGAGUAACACGUGGAUAACCUACCUAUAAGACUGGGAUAACUUCGGGAAACCGGAGCUAAUACCGGAUAAUAUAUUUAACCGCAUGGUUCAAUAGUGAAAGACGGUUUUGCUGUCACUUAUAGAUGGAUCCGCGCCGCAUUAGCUAGUUGGUAAGGUAACGGCUUACCAAGGCAACGAUGCGUAGCCGACCUGAGAGGGUGAUCGGCCACACUGGAACUGAGACACGGUCCAGACUCCUACGGGAGGCAGCAGUAGGGAAUCUUCCGCAAUGGGCGAAAGCUUGACGGAGCAACGCCGCGUGAGUGAUGAAGGUCUUCGGAUCGUAAAACUCUGUUAUUAGGGAAGAACAAAUGUGUAAGUAACUAUGCACGUCUUGACGGUACCUAAUCAGAAAGCCACGGCUAACUACGU